Molecule: transfer RNA, 52 nt
Filed under: Akkermansia sp.
Lineage: Bacteria; Pseudomonadati; Verrucomicrobiota; Verrucomicrobiia; Verrucomicrobiales; Akkermansiaceae
Description: tRNA-Ser
Source: RNAcentral
CAGGGGAUUGAAAAUCCCCGUGUCGGCGGUUCGAUCCCGUCCCGAGCCACCA